Molecule: unclassified non-coding RNA, 212 nt
Filed under: Hevea brasiliensis (rubber tree)
Lineage: Eukaryota; Viridiplantae; Streptophyta; Magnoliopsida; Malpighiales; Euphorbiaceae
Source: RNAcentral
AGAGGGGGGGGGGGGGGGGGGGUGUGUCGGCACUUAAAAAAUUCUGUUACCUCUUUGGCAUCAUUAAAUUUUUGUGCAACAUGAUUUUCAUCUAUGAUUAACUGAGCUAUAAUCUAUACUUAAGUGAAUAAGUGUACACAAGCGGUAUUUGAAUGAGCAACUUCUUGUUCAGUUAAGUGGAGAGAAGAAAAGCGGCAGGGGGGGGGGGGGGG